UCUUCAAGAAAGAGGUGAUGAACUACCGG
RNAcentral lists this non-coding RNA (29 nucleotides) under Callithrix jacchus (white-tufted-ear marmoset). Lineage: Eukaryota; Metazoa; Chordata; Mammalia; Primates; Cebidae. The record is from RNAcentral. RNAcentral also lists the same sequence under 1 other name.